GUAGGUGGCAAGCGUUGUCCGGAAUUAUUGGGCGUAAAGCGCGCGCAGGGCGGUCCUUUAAGUCUGAUGUGAAAGCCCACGGCUCAACCGUGGAGGGUCAUUGGAAACUGGGGGACUUGAGUACAGAAGAGGAAAGCGGAAUUCCAAGUGUAGCGGUGAAAUGCGUAGAGAUUUGGAGGAACACCAGUGGCGAAGGCGGCUUUCUGGUCUGUAACUGACGCUGAGGCGCGAAAGCGUGGGGAGCAAACAGGAUUAGAUACCCUGGUAGUCAACGCCGUAAACGAUGAGUGCUAAGUGUUAGGGGGUUUCCGCCCCUUAGUGCUGCAGCUAACGCAUUAAGCACUCCGCCUGGGGAGUACGGCCGCAAAGGCUG
Molecule: ribosomal RNA, 373 nt
Filed under: uncultured organism
Description: partial 16S ribosomal RNA
Rfam family: Bacterial small subunit ribosomal RNA
Source: RNAcentral